Spinacia oleracea (spinach) is the source of this 1008-nucleotide long non-coding RNA. RefSeq lists it as uncharacterized. NCBI's taxonomy places the organism in Eukaryota, Viridiplantae, Streptophyta, Magnoliopsida, Caryophyllales, Amaranthaceae. The record is from RefSeq and is a predicted model, not a curated record. The transcript has 4 exons.
CUAGUCCAUGUAAAACACAAAACACCAAACACCAAACUCCUCUAUUCCUUUCACGUAAAAACAAAAACAAAAAAAAACCAAAACCUCUCCUCUAUUUCAUUCACGUCAGGGAAACUCUCAAACAUUUUUCUCCUCCUUGCGCAGCCGCCGGCCAGCCGCCACACCGGACCACCGACCGCCGGUCCUCCCCUUCCCCGCCACACCACCAUCAGCCACCAUCAACCGCACACCACCACCAACACCAGUCGCGCAGCCACCGCGCCGUGUUGUUGCUACCGCGCCCUCCACGCACAGCAGCGCUCGUGCCCCUUCUCUUCGUGUUCGUCCUCCCUUCUUCGCGUCAUUGCAGCAACCUUCCAGCCACGAUUUUGUCGCGCCGCCGCCAACCACCCUGCACAACACUGCAGCCGCCGUCCUUUCCUUCGGUCGGCGCCCCCUCACUCUCUUCUCUUUUGGCGGAGAAUUCUCUUUAGGCGACUUUUGAAAGUGUUAAAGUGGCCUAUUAGUUUGUUUACACGAGUCUCUAAGGAUCAAUAAGCGUUGCCCAUCUACAGGUUUGAAGAUGAUGCAUCAUUGGAAUCGGGAUUAGAGAGCUUGUAUUUAGUUUUGUUUUGCUAAGUGACUUGGUUUGUUAAUUUGGACUUUAAACUUGUCGUACAAUUUAUAUUUCCUUAUUUUCGUUGGUUGGUUUUUGGGAUUAAACCUGUAAUGGGUUAUUUAUAAACCUAAAGUUAGUUUUAUUUUUUCCGCUGCAAAAUUCUGAAUAAGUGGUUACGUUUUCACACGGGCGAUAAUACUUUGAUAAUUCUCUAUAGUUAUGUUUUAAAAGGGGAAUGUCGGGGUGUUACAAAGUGGUAUCUAGAAGCUUGUGGUUUUAAUUCAAUAAUUUUUAGGCGCCUAAACUAGCUAGUUUUCUAAAACGAAUUUUCUAGGAUUGAGCUCCUACUCACUAUAUUAUUCAAAAAUGCGUACUUUUUUUUGGGGGACCAAAUUUAUUUUAUUUUGUUU